This 425-nucleotide ribosomal RNA is filed under the name uncultured bacterium. RNAcentral's name for it is "partial 16S ribosomal RNA". It matches the Rfam family "Bacterial small subunit ribosomal RNA", at positions 354 to 796 of the family's 1533-position model. The record is from RNAcentral.
GUGGGGAAUCUUAGACAAUGGGCGCAAGCCUGAUCUAGCCAUGCCGCGUGAGCGAUGAAGGCCUUAGGGUUGUAAAGCUCUUUCGUGGGGGAAGAUAAUGACUGUACCCCAAGAAGAAGCCCCGGCUAACUCCGUGCCAGCAGCCGCGGUAAUACGGAGGGGGCUAGCGUUGUUCGGAAUUACUGGGCGUAAAGCGCACGUAGGCGGACUGGAAAGUCAGGGGUGAAAUCCCGGGGCUCAACCCCGGAACUGCCUUUGAAACUCCCAGUCUUGAGUUCGAGAGAGGUGAGUGGAAUUCCGAGUGUAGAGGUGAAAUUCGUAGAUAUUCGGAAGAACACCAGUGGCGAAGGCGGCUCACUGGACAGGUAUUGACGCUGAGGUGCGAAAGCGUGGGGAGCAAACAGGAUUAGAUACCCCUGUAGUCC